AUUCCAACCAAGAAAAGAAAGAGAACUUAGUGAAAAAGGUACAGGUCAAAUGAUUUUAAUUGUUUUCUUUAUUACAGGUAAAAUGACUUUUAUGAUUUUAAUUGUUUUUACAUUUGUCAUCUGAUUUUAAUUGUUUUCUUUAUUACAGGUAAAAUGGCUAUUAUGAAGUCAAUCAUUCGUGCAAGAGACAAGGGUGUAAAAUUUGAAGUACAUUGGAGUGCUGAAGACCAACUAAUUUUUUUCAUCAGGCUUGUGUCUCAAUAGAGGAUGGGUAUCUACCUAAAGUUACUUUUGUAGUGGUCCAAAAGAGACAUCACACCCGUCUCUUUCCUGUCAACCCCAAAGAGACCGAUAGAAGUGGAAAUAUUAUGCCAGGAACCGUGGUAGACACCAGCAUUUGUCACCCUAAGGAAUUUGAUUUUUACCUUACAGCCAUGCAGGAAUUCAGGGGACUAGUCGACCAACGCAUUAUCAUGUGCUGUAUGAUGAAAAUAAAUUCACUGCAGACCAGCUACAGAGUUUGACCAAUAACUUGUCCAUUCAGUUAUGCGAGGUGUACUCGAUCUGUCUCAAUAGUUCCUCCUGCCUAUUAUGCACACUUGCUAUUAUUCAUCAUGGGUGGAUGGGCGUUAUUUUGUUUAGUAUUGGUUAGAACUACUAGACAGCUUUUGGAUACAGUGGUCACUGGGUGUUGGUUGCUAUGGAUCUUUCGAGACUAAUAGUGUAUAUUGUUGUUGUACUUUUACUAAAUCAUGAAUAUGUUGUUGUAUAUUGUUGAUCAAAGAAUCAUAUAUUAAUGUUGUAUAUAUGAAGGAUUAAUGUUGUAUAUAAAUGGAUUCAUGUUGUAUAUAUCAAUGGAUUAAUGGUGUAUAACAUUGGAUUAAAGGAUGAAUUCAAUAUGAAUUUUACA
Long non-coding RNA from Lathyrus oleraceus (garden pea), 910 nucleotides. RefSeq lists it as uncharacterized. The record is from RefSeq and is a predicted model, not a curated record. Lineage: Eukaryota; Viridiplantae; Streptophyta; Magnoliopsida; Fabales; Fabaceae. The transcript is spliced from 4 exons.